CAUGGCUCAGAACGAACGCUGGCGGCAGGCCUAACACAUGCAAGUCGAGCGCCCCGCAAGGGGAGCGGCGGACGGGUGAGUAACACGUGGGAAUUUUCCUCAAGGUACGGAACAACUCAGGGAAACUUGGGCUAAUACCGUAUGAUGCAGAGAUGCCAAAGAUUUAUCGCCUUGGGAUAAGCCCGCGUCAGAUUAGGUAGUUGGUGGGGUAAUGGCCUACCAAGCCUGUGAUCUGUAGCUGGUCUGAGAGGACGAUCAGCCACAUUGGGACUGAGACACGGCCCAAACUCCUACGGGAGGCAGCAGUGGGGAAUCUUGCGCAAUGGACGAAAGUCUGACGCAGCCAUGCCGCGUGAAUGAUGAAGGUCUUAGGAUUGUAAAGUUCUUUAGCCUGUGACGAUGAUGACGGUAACAGGAGAAUAAGCCCCGGCUAACUUCGUG
Molecule: ribosomal RNA, 441 nt
Filed under: uncultured bacterium
Lineage: Bacteria
Description: bacterial SSU rRNA
Rfam family: Bacterial small subunit ribosomal RNA
Source: RNAcentral